UUCCGGUGGCGGGAUUUGUCUUCGUUGUGCAUGAACACUUCCGGCGCACUUCAACAAUGGCUGAAACAAAGGCUAGAUGUCACUGCUCUGUUCCACUUUGUACAUCUAACAAACAACACCGACCCUACUUAAGUUUUCAUGGAUUCCCGACUGAAUUGAGUCUAUGGAAGAAGUGGAUUCAAGCGGUUCGCCGGGAUGAAGGGCCAAACUUUAAAAUAAAACAAGGUAGCACGUUUGUUUGUAGCCGGCACUUUAGUGAAUCAGACUACAAACGCUACAGCUAGCAACCAACCGGGGUCACACCAAGCGACUGAAAAUCGGGUCUGUACCCUCCCGUUUCCAGUGGAACAACUGGGGACUGCCAAGAAGCGGGUCUGUUUAUAAAAGAGCAUCAACUCGCUUAGGCCAUGACGUUCACCCAGCCCUUCCUCUGGAGCAACCGCUGCCCUGUGAAUAAGAGCCGAUGGAGGAGAUCUCAGCUUCGGUGGUGAUGACAGAACAUGAUUUCGGUUCUGCUCCUAAAGCAGGUGCACUGGAUGCUGCUGCUGUACACAUACAGCAAUUGGAAGAAACAGUCAAGGAGCUGUCACAGCUGAAAGUGGUUCCAGUGCCUUUUCACAGAUUUUGUGUCUCAGACGAGGACAUCCUUUUUUACACCAGAUUCACGUCAAGAGAUGUUUUUUGUGACUUCUGGGAGGUUAUUCAACCAUCUGCCUUCAUGUUGGUUUAUUGGUCGAAAGCUCAGAAAAAGAAACAAACAUUUGAACCCAUUUCUCCCAGUCCAACGUGUAGACUGCAACUGGUUGAGUUUUUUCUCUUCUGCUGCCGGGUUGCUGCAGGCCUGCAAGAGAAGGUGCUGGCUGACAUGUUUCAGAGCUGACUGAACGAAGUGGACUGCUGGAUUUACUGGAGCCAGGAGAUGGCUGCAUGGCAGACAAGGGUUUCACCAUCGAGAAGCCACUAGCUGAUCGUGGGGCAACGCUGAUUAUACCACCCUUCAAGAUGACAGUUCACUGAAGAGGAUGCUCUGAAAACACAAGCAAUCGCUCGACUUCGAAUCCUCGUAGAAAGAGCAAUAGGCAGAGUCAAGGAAUACCGCAUCUGGGAACGCACUGUCCUUUCACCUUGUCUGCGUCAGUCAAUCAGCUGUGGACCGUCUGCUGUGUGAUGACCAACUUCCAGGGACCACUUGAUUUAAAAGGCUACAUCCCUGUUGAAUAGUGUUUCUACUC
This is a long non-coding RNA of Gadus macrocephalus (Pacific cod), 1232 nucleotides long. RefSeq lists it as uncharacterized. Lineage: Eukaryota; Metazoa; Chordata; Actinopteri; Gadiformes; Gadidae. The record is from RefSeq and is a predicted model, not a curated record. The transcript has 4 exons.